Molecule: long non-coding RNA, 6151 nt
Organism: Neofelis nebulosa (Clouded leopard)
Lineage: Eukaryota; Metazoa; Chordata; Mammalia; Carnivora; Felidae
Exons: 4
Source: RefSeq, a predicted model, not a curated record
AAUAGGACAUGAGUGAUGAGGAGCAGCCUUGGGGUGAGGAGAGCCCCCCUGCCCUGAGGGCAAAUUGCCUUGAGGUGUCCCCUGAGGUGAGGGUGGGAGGGAGCAGCCAAGCAUCCUGGGCAAGGCCCAACCAACUCAGAGGAAGGAUCCCCUAUACCCAACCAAUCCCUCCCCCUCCCCUGGCCCCGCAUUAGUUAGCAUUCAUCCUUCAGCUUGUAAAGUGCUUUCAGACCCUGUCUCUGCCUAGGCUCUCACAGCAAGCUGGGGAGGUGGGAUUCUUCCAUCCUAUAGAAGUGGAGAGCCUGGAGAGCUGCCUGAACUGCCUAAAGUCAGAGACGCAACCCAGCAGAAUGGAUUAGAGCCCAGCCUGUGGGCUUUUCCUACUGAAGUCAACACCCUUCCCCCUGACCUGGAACAGGGGGCCCAGCAGAGAGGAGGGGGAUCAAUGGGAUACAUCCUGGGAUCAUCUUGCUCUGACUGAAAACCCUAGGUCCCCAGCUUCAGGACCCAGCCUAGAGAGGCAACACUGUAGGGGAAAGGGCCUUCUGGGAAUCAGAAGCCAGAUGACCUGUGUGAGCCUCAGGAGGCCAGGAGUCAAGCCAGUCCCAUUUAAACAAGGAAGAGAAGAAAGAAGGGGAGAUCCAAGUAUCCAAGGAGAAGGGACAAGGAAUCAUAAGAAUGUUCUCACCACCCUAAGGCCAUGCCAUCACUUCUGUCUCCUUCCACAGACUCCUCCUCAUCCAGGCCCUUGUCCCUUUACAGGAAGCAGCACAGCACGGGGAAAGGAACAUGAAUUUUGGAGUCAUGUGGCCCUACAUCUGAAUUCUGGCUCUGCCACUUAACUAGCUGCGUGAUUUCAGGCAAGUUGCUUAACUGAUCUGAGCCUCAGUUUCCUCAUCUGAAAAUAAGUACAGUAAUAUCCUUUUCCUAGGGUCUUUGGGGUACUGUUUAUAAACACAAGGCAUUCCCAUGAACCAGCAGGUAUAAAGUAUCAGACCUCUGGAAGAGGCUCAAGCCCUACAAAAAUAAUUGCUCUCUAGGUUGAUUUAUAAGUGGUCACUCUUUGUCAUUUGUAAGUUGUUUGCUCUGCAGCACAGAUACUUUAAGAUUCUGAAUCUCAGACUGAUAGGAUCCUGUCCCUGAAAAGAUGGAUGGGGACACAGGCCCCAGGGAAGUGACUAGAUCAAGGUCACACAGGGAACCGUGGCAGAGCUGGAGCUCAAACAUGGGUGUCUGACGUCUAAUCUAGGCCUCUUACCCUUGUGUCACUGCUAACUCAGAUUAUUAUUUUAAACAGGACGUUGGUGAUCACCUGGUCAGACUCCCUCCCACACUGGGAGGAAGUGAGGCCCAGAGAAGUUUGAUGAGCAGACAGUAUGGAAAUCAGGAGAGCAGGAGUUUCUCCGACCAAUGCACAGAUGAGUUAAACUCCAGGUGCUCUGCACAGGUCCUACACAGAGUUGGUGCUCGAUAAAUGAACGUGCCAUGAAAGAAUUGAGUCAGCGGAGAGGGGAAGUUCUGGAAGAGGAGGUGAUUGAUGGUCCUUAAUCCUGGAAACCUCUUUAACAAAGAAAAUACUUCAUCAUGUGAUGUGGAAACUGAGUCCGAGAAGAGAGGUCGGGACUUGCCUAAGAUCAUUGAUUUAUGCUAGCACAAACCCCAGUGGCAGUCUUCAGAUCUGAGGGGGGGUGCUUAUAGGAACACCCCUUCCCUAAGGGGGCAGGACCAGAAGAAAUGGCUUUGAAUUGCGAACAAAAGGAUCCAGGUGAGAUAUAAGGAAGAAUCCCAGCUGUAAGAAUGGGUAACAUAAGAAGACUGGAACCGCCUUCUCUGGGAUGGGAUGAGAUCCCCUCCAGGGGGUUGCCUGAAAUGAUCUCAGCACUGCAUCUCCCAGGGGCACCGCUCUCACACCAGUCCUUUUCUUUGGGAGUCCAAGGGAUUCAGGAUCCCUCUCCCAGAGACCGGCGCCAUGGCUGGUGGCUGGGGGAACUUGAGAGGCCAGUCCUGGAACAGGUGCAACAGCUGGAACAACUGUGCAGCUGUUACCCAGCUCCUGCUCAGCAGCCAGCUAGCCAGUGAGUGAGACAGAGACCUCUACUGGUGGGAGUGAGGAAGUGCAGAACCACCUAGACAGACCCAGAGAGGGGCCUGCCUGGAGCCAGAUGUCAAGCCUUCACUCAGGUGUCCCCCUCCCCCGUGUAAAUCUGGACAGGUAGAUGGGGAUGCAACUAAGCUGAAAAGCAGGGCAGGGUCCCUGCCGGUGGGUCCCCCUACACACCCACUGUUCUAGGCCUCCUAAGUACUGGAGGGGCCACUCCUGGUGUCUGAGGAUCUAUUGACUCCUCCCUAGCAGGACAGGAGUACAAGGCUGCAGACGUAAACACCCUGACUUCCUUUCCCGAAGCUCAGAACAGGCUCAGAAUCAAGGCAACAGCAUCUUUGGAUCUUAGAGUCUUAGAAUCACGGGAUAUUAAAGCCAGAAGUGUCCUCAAUGAUUGUCUCUUGGGGUCAACCAUCUCUCUUUACUGCUGGGAAAACUGAGGGGGAGAGAAAGGCAACUUGUCUGGUGUCUGCAUGGCUGGAAUUAGUAGCAGAACCAGGCUGAGGCCCUGACCUUCUGAUUCCAAGUUUGUCCUCUGUACUACUUCAUACGAUGGGAGCUCCCUUCCUGCCCUAUCUCUGCUUCUGCAGUCUGGGAUUCUGUCACUUGGGAACAGAAGCCUCAAUUCCCACAGUUCACAUCACCUUUGGAGAGAGGCUAGAGCAAUUGAUGGUUUUACCUGAUAACUGACUGUCUCUUGAAAGCAGGACUGGGCAGCGGGAGGGAAGAGAAAGCAGAAGCGAGCCGGAUACCUUGCGGGUGGGAGGGGGCGGCAAUAGUAAGGGAGGAGCACAAGGAAGAGGCGCUGACAUAGGGGGAAGAGCACCAGAGAGGGAGUCAAGAUACUAGGCCGGUUCUCGUUCCACAGAGAAAUGGAUACCCAAACUGACUAACGUCAUACAUGUGUGUGUCUUCACCUGGGGCUGGGGUCAGUACCAGUCAGUGACCAGGUCACAGACCUGGAAUCGGGGUUAAGUCCGUGGUCAGGGCUUUGAGGAUCAGGGCUCAGCCUGUGGCCAGAGCUGAGACUCAGUCCGGGUUGAAUUCAAUCUGUGGCUGGAAACAGAGCCAAGGACAGAAUAACCUUUGUUUGAAUAGCCUUUUUGCACUGUAACUGAGGAGCAAACUGCCAUGUGUGUUCACAGGCCUUUGGCAUUCUGCAGGGCUGAGCCACCUCAGGAGUCUGACAUGACACAGACUUGAGAAUUCCCAUCCGUUGGUAUCACUUCUGAAAGCAUCUAAGGUGUCCCCAGGAGAUUUCUUAUGUACAACGGGCCUUAGAUCUUACUUGAACUAAGACAAGGACCAUCAUAAGAGACCUCCAAAUAGGACUCUGGCAAAUGACUAUAGAAUAGGAUUGUUCCGGGGCGCCUGGGUGGCUCAGUCGUUUGAGCCUCCGACUUCAGCUCAGGUCACGAUCUCACGGUCCGUGAGUUCGAGCCCCGCAUCGGGCUCUGGGCUGAUGGCUCAGAGCCUGGAGUCUGCUUCCGAUUCUGUGUCUCCCUCUCUCUCUCUGCCCCUCCCCCGUUCAUGUUCUGUCUCUCUCUGUCUCAAAAAUAAAUAAACGUUAAAAAAAAAAAAAAGAAUAGGAUUGUUCCUAGAUUCAUAGAUUGUCAGCACUAGACAAUGUGAGGCUCCGAGCAGGGAAGUGAUCUGUUCAAAUUCACACAACCCAUAAGCAACAAAUCUAUUCUUUAAUAAAUUUGCUGUGUGAACUUGGGCAAGUCACUCCCACUUUCUGGGCUUCAGUUUAACUAUAGGAAAAUUGGGGGGGGGGGUAGAAGCAGACAAUUUUCUAAAAUUUUUUUAAUGUUUAUUUAUUUUGAGAGAGAGACAGAGCAUGAGCAGGAGAGGGGCAGAGAGAGAGGGAGACACAGAAUCCGAAGCAGGCUCCAGGCUCUGAACAGUCAGCACAGAGUCCAACGUGAGGCUCAAACUCACAAAAUGUGAGACCAUGACCUGAGCUGAAGUCGGGUGCUCAACCGACUGAGCCGCCCAGGUGCCCCAGAAGCAGAUGAUAUUCAAAGGCUCUUUCAGCUCUGACAUCCCAGAAUCUGAACACACCCCUCUGAAUACCAGUCCACCUCACUUUAACUCAAGUCUGCUCUGAGUUGUUUUCUUGUGUGUCUGUCGCUAAGACACUGCCUGAAGGCCAGUGGAGGCACAGAGGAAGGAGAGCAGAAUGGAUCAGGUGGCCAGGGAAAGUUUGCUGGAAGAAGUUUGACCUGGCAAGGUGGUGAAGGCCUGACAAGAUAUGGGAGGCCAAGAGCAGGGGUGUGGGUAGGACAAGAGCAAUCCUGCACAACGAUCUGAUUCUAGGACAUCUUUCCAAGAUGCAUCAGGGGCAACGGUACCCGGAGAAGCACCUUGGGAGCUAAGAACGAUGUGCCAAGAGGAAGGGAGGCAGGCACAGAGGGCAUUCAGUACUAAGUCCCUUUUAAGAAACAACAGGUAAGUGUUAGGAGGAAACCUCCAGGGCCCAAGGAAGGGGAGGAGGAAUUUACUGAGUACUAGGCAUUGUGCUGGCUGACUGAACACAGUCACUUCCCUUAAUCCUCCCAAGAAUUCUUUGGGUUCCAGGUAAGUAUGUGUCUUAGGUGAUGAAAUCGAGGCUCAGAGAAGUUGUGACUUAUGAGAAGUCACACAGCCGCUAAGGGGCAGAGGCAGGACUUGAACCCAACAGAGUUCCUUCCAUUACUUGUUACUAAGGACUUCUAUGAGUCUCAUGCUAAGGGCAGCCCAGAGACGACCAGACUUGCAACCUGCCCUCACAAGCAGAAAGAAUGAAACAAAAUCCAGCACUGCCAGCUCAGGAAAGUCAUGUGCCAAAGAAAGGCAGCAACGGGGGAGUGGAGCUGUGGGGAGGGCAGAGCGCUAGGCGGGGAGUUGGGAACCUGGGGUCUUCAUCCCAGGCUCUGCGCUGUGUAACCUGGAGCAAACCACUGCCCCUCCUUGUCCUCAGUUUCUUUAUCAGGUAUUUCAGGGUUUGAACUAAACUCCUUCCUUCUCAUCAAGAGAAUCUUGGUUUUGUUUUCCAUCCUCACAGUAUUCUAAGAGACUGGGGAUGGAGAGGAGGUCCAGGAGCCUCUGGCAGAGGCAGUGAGGGAACUGAGCUGCAGAGAGAUUAUAUAAACUGUUUGAGGUUACACUGUCUAAGUGGAGAAGCAUGAAUUCGGGAACUGAUUUUUUUUUUUUUUUAAGACGCUACCAUGUACCAGCUAGUUGCUUUAUUAUAUUUUCUCCAAUUUAAUUCUCACAACAGUCCUGGGAUUUUUGACUCCCAUUUUAUAGAUUGGGAAACUGAGGCUUAGAGAGGUGCCCUCCAUCAGCUGGUAUUCAGAAGAUCUGGGAUAGUGAAGACUGGUCUAUCUCCCUGUGCCCUGCUGCCUCCCAGGGUCUUACAGCUCCAAAUCAGGGUUCCUUCCAGAUGCUUUGCUGUGCGGCAGGGGGAAAAGCAUAGGAUUUGGAAUUGGAGAGCUCUGGCAUUGGAUGGCUUGCUAGCUCUGUAAACUUCAGCAAGUUUCUUCUGUUACCCUAAGUUUUCUCAUCUGUAAAAUGCAAAUGAUAGUACCCACCUCUUGGGAGUCACGUGAGGAUCACAACGGAUAACAGAAUGAGGUUACCUAGCGAGCUCUUCUUUCUUUGCACCGGCUCCCUUUGAAUACAAUAGUCUUUACAUCUCCAUCACCUUCUUCACACCCUUGCAGCCAAACAUACCCUGCUCUCUGCUGAGAAUAUGAAGCACCACCACCAGCCUACACACAUGCGCACAGUGUCCUGCCUUCUCUCCCACUGCCCUCAGUCCCCCCUCUCCUCAGUUCCCUGGCAGCAGCCCCCCUGGCCCUGAGUUUUGCCAAGUUCCCCCCAGUAUCCCAGACUCAUCAGCCCAUACUGGUCGGCAGAGGAGUCUCCACUCUCCCCGCACAGGUGCUGCCUGGAAGGCUGCCAGAACAGUGUGGGGUCCCAAGUCCUGGCACUUUCCCUGCACAUCCCAGGGGCUCGCAUCCCUCCUCUGCUUAUCCAGCCCUCCCCUCCCCUACUUACGGGCUC